Molecule: ribosomal RNA, 501 nt
Filed under: Triticum aestivum (bread wheat)
Lineage: Eukaryota; Viridiplantae; Streptophyta; Magnoliopsida; Poales; Poaceae
Description: partial small subunit ribosomal RNA
Source: RNAcentral
AUGGCCCUGGACCUCCAUGCUGGACCGCCGACCCGCGCCGGCCGGCCAUCGGAGCGCCGCCGCUGGACCAACACGCCGCCCUGCCCUCCUCUCCUUCUUCCCUCCCUUCCCUCUGGUUAUAUUUCUCACAUCCCCCUCUCUCUCCCCUUCAAAGGAAGCGGAAGCCAUGGCCGUUGGACCUCCAACUGGACCGCCACCCCAUGCCGGCCGGCCACCGGAGCGCCGCCGUCGGACCAACGCGGGUUGCCGCGCUGGACCGCAGCCUGGACGAAACUCCGGCGAGGCCAUGAGCUCCCGAGUCCCAACCCGGGCUUAGGAGCGUACGGGAGCGCCGUCGUGGAUCAUGCGCGUCCUAGGUCCGCCGAGGCCACGGGCUCCCAAGCCGGGCAUAGGUUCUGUAGGAAGCACAAGAAAGUGGGUAUGAAAGCUAUGAGACGAUGGCCAAUACAGAUAUUGACAGGGCUGGAAGUCCGGAGCCAACGAAUAUACAUAGCGACUUAA